AACCCGUGAUGUGGACAUUUAACCAACAACUCCUUGAAGCGCUCCCAUGUCUCGUAAAAUGACUCUCCUUCCUUCUGACGAAACUCCUGAAUCAUGCUCCUCAGACG
Helianthus annuus (common sunflower) is the source of this 107-nucleotide non-coding RNA. The record is from Rfam. Lineage: Eukaryota; Viridiplantae; Streptophyta; Magnoliopsida; Asterales; Asteraceae.